CUCGAGACGGCGGGGUAGAGGCCCGCCGCGGUAACGACGGGUAACGGGGAAUCAGGGUUCGAUUCCGGAGAGGGGAGCCCGAGAAACGGCUACCACUUCCAAGGAAGGCAGCAGGCGCGCAACUUACCCCUAAUCUCGAUUCGAGGAGGUAGUGACAAGAAAUACCGAUGCGGGGACCCUACGGGGUGCCGCGUUCGGAAUGAGUACGAUUCGAACCACCUAACGAGGAACGAUCGGAGGGCAAGUCUGGUGCCAGCAGCCGCGGUAAUUCCAGCUCCAAUAGCGUACGUUAAAGUUGCUGCAGUUAAAAAGCUCGUAGUUGAACGUUCGGGUUCCGCGGGACGGGGCCGCCCCGCGAGGGACGGCGCCGCCCCGGGGCUCGUGAUAUCUCAUCUCGCCGCCCGUCGCGAGGCGGACGGAGGGAUGGAUGAGGUUACCUGGAAAAAAUCGGGGC
This 454-nucleotide ribosomal RNA is filed under the name uncultured eukaryote. RNAcentral's name for it is "bacterial SSU rRNA". It matches the Rfam family "Eukaryotic small subunit ribosomal RNA", at positions 319 to 772 of the family's 1831-position model. The record is from RNAcentral.